RNAcentral lists this ribosomal RNA (490 nucleotides) under uncultured bacterium. RNAcentral's name for it is "partial 16S ribosomal RNA". It matches the Rfam family "Bacterial small subunit ribosomal RNA", at positions 28 to 507 of the family's 1533-position model. The record is from RNAcentral.
GAUGAACGCUAGCUACAGGCUUAACACAUGCAAGUCGCGGGGCAGCAUGGGGGUUGCUUGCAAUCCCCGAUGGCGACCGGCGCACGGGUGAGUAACGCGUAUCCAACCUGCCCUUCACCACGGGAUAACCCGGCGAAAGUCGGACUAAUACCGUAUGUUGUCCAUUGACGGCAUCCGAUUUGGACGAAAGGCUUGGCGGUCAGGGAUGGGGAUGCGUCCGAUUAGCCAGACGGCGGGGUAACGGCCCACCGUGGCGACGAUCGGUAGGGGUUCUGAGAGGAAGGUCCCCCACACUGGAACUGAGACACGGUCCAGACUCCUACGGGAGGCAGCAGUGAGGAAUAUUGGUCAAUGGGCGUAAGCCUGAACCAGCCAAGUAGCGUGCAGGAUGACGGCCCUAUGGGUUGUAAACUGCUUUUAUGCGGGGAUAAAGUGGCCCACGUGUGGGCUUUUGCAGGUACCGCAUGAAUAAGGACCGGCUAAUUCCGUG